Molecule: non-coding RNA, 73 nt
Organism: Bos taurus (domestic cattle)
Lineage: Eukaryota; Metazoa; Chordata; Mammalia; Artiodactyla; Bovidae
Source: Rfam
UCCCUGGUGGUCCAGUGGCUAAGACUCUGCACUCCAAAUGCAGAGGGCUCAGGUUCGAGCCUCGGUCAGGGAA